Molecule: long non-coding RNA, 204 nt
Organism: Perca flavescens (yellow perch)
Lineage: Eukaryota; Metazoa; Chordata; Actinopteri; Perciformes; Percidae
Exons: 3
Source: RefSeq, a predicted model, not a curated record
CUUCAGGAAGUGUCUUUUGAACUUUUGGCAAGUGAAUAUCCCUGUGUUGAAAAGAUGAGCUUUGUGUUGCUGUGCGUGAUGCUGGUAGCCAGUGUGACACCUGUGUCUGCUGCAGCACAGCCAGGUAUCAUAGAGAGCCUACUAUUGGCCACCAAUGAGCGUCCCUGGCUCUGGGGGGUCUAUGUCUUCACUGUUGGACUUCCU